CCUUUAGGACUGGGAUAACUUUGGGAAACUGAGGCUAAUACCGGAUAGGCAAUUUUUCCUGUAAUGGUUUUUUGUUUAAAUGUUUUUUCGCCUAAGGAUGGGUCUGCGGCCGAUUAGGUAGUUGGUUAGGUAAUGGCUUACCAAGCCGUUGAUCGGUACGGGUUGUGAGAGCAAGAGCCCGGAGAUGGAACCUGAGACAAGGUUCCAGGCCCUACGGGGUGCAGCAGGCGCGAAACCUCCGCAAUGUGAGAAAUCGCGACGGGGGGGUCCCAAGUGCCAUUCUUAACGGGAUGGCUUUUCAUUAGUGUAAAGAGCUUUUGGAAUAAGAGCUGGGCAAGACCGGUGCCAGCCGCCGCGGUAACACCGGCAGCUCUAGUGGUAGCAAUUUUUAUUGGGCCUAAAGCGUCCGUAGCCGGUUUAAUAAGUCUCUGGUGAAAUCCUGUAGCUUAACUGUGGGAAUUGCUGGAGAUACUAUUAGACUUGAGACCGGGAGAGGUUGGAGGUACUCCCAGGGUAGAGGUGAAAUUCUGUAAUCCUGGGAGGACCGCCUGUUGCGAAGGCGUCUAACUGGAACGGUUC
RNAcentral lists this ribosomal RNA (579 nucleotides) under uncultured archaeon. RNAcentral's name for it is "bacterial SSU rRNA". It matches the Rfam family "Archaeal small subunit ribosomal RNA", at positions 112 to 691 of the family's 1478-position model. The record is from RNAcentral.